Molecule: long non-coding RNA, 997 nt
Organism: Mus musculus (house mouse)
Lineage: Eukaryota; Metazoa; Chordata; Mammalia; Rodentia; Muridae
Product: predicted gene, 36367
Exons: 4
Source: RefSeq, a predicted model, not a curated record
GGGUGGGAACUUCCGGUGGGAACCGGAAAAGGAAAAGCUGGACAAGGCCUCAGCUGGGCGUGAACUUCCUGCAGAGGUUUGGAUCAUGCCGGUCCUGUCUUGAAACAUGGUGUAUGCUGCGUUUGUGAUGGCUACACUUUGAACUGUCAGCCUGAGUGGAUGCGGGAGCAGCCAGGCCCCCAGGAACGCACAGCUCUAGCCAUGUCUGCUGUGGCCAUUCAAGAGCUCAUUAGAUCACAAGGGCUCUGAUCUAAUGAAUCUGAUUGGUCACUGAUGAACUCAUAACAGCAUUAUGGAGAGAUGGUAAGAGGUACAGGGAUCUUCCUGACUUGCAAACUGAGACAGCCUCAUUCCAUCAGAGCCUCGAAAGCUGCAGUGUCCACCUCCUGAGCCUUCCUGCCACCACGGUCCAACUCUCGAAGCUUCCUGCUGUGGCAACCAUUUCUAAUGUGCCAGCUUUUCUGGCCUGGUCACAGCAUCCAUAUCGCUCACUAGAUAUGGACCACAGGGACUUGGACAUGCUCAAGAGGAGCAGCUGCACCUUCUUGAAUCACAAUCCAAGGCCUCUCCCAAUGGCAAGCCAAGACUUCAAACAGAGGAUCUCUCUGGGGCCAUCUGGAGCUAGAAGCUAGAGACAGAAUUUAUUCCUGGAGACCCAGAGAACCAGGCCAGACAGAGUCUCUCACUGAGGCAUGGAAUUCACCAGUUAGUCAAGACUGACUGCCACUGACCUCUGAAGAACAUCCCUGCUCUCUCUGACAAGCUCUGGGGUCUUAAGUGCCUGUCACCAUGCCUGCCUUCUCACGUGGGUACAGGGAUUGGAACCUGGGUUAUCAUUCCUACAUGGCAAGCACUUCACCAACUGAGUAUUCCCCUCAGUGCCUUCCAAGGCUUUGAACGUGACAUUUCAGGAAAACAUUUAUUGAGUAAUCCUCAUCAGGCUGGGCACAGAUCUCUUGACAAAGUAAGAAUGCUAAUAACAUUAUUUGGGACUCCA